AGCAGCCGCGGUAAUUCCAGCUCCAAUAGCGUAUAUUAAAGUUGUUGCAGUUAAAAAGCUCGUAGUUGAAUUUCGGGAUCAAUGCGUCGGUCGUGCUUUCGGGUACGUACUGGUGUCAUUGGUUUCUCCUUUCUGACGAGCCGUGAUGUCAUUAAUUUGGUGUUACGGGUAGUUAGGACUGUUACUUUGAAAAAAUUAGAGUGUUUAAAGCAGGCAUUCGCUUGAAUACAUUAGCAUGGAAUAAUGAAAUAGGACGUUCGACCCUAUUUUGUUGGUUUCUAGGAUCAACGUAAUGAUUAAUAGGGAUAGUUGGGGGCAUUAGUAUUCAAUUGUCAGAGGUGAAAUUCUUGGAUUUAUUGAAGACUAACUACUGCGAAAGCAUUUGCCAAGGAUGUUUUCAUUAAUCAAGAACGAAAGUUAGGGGAUCGAAGACGAUCAGAUACCGUCGUAGUCUUAACCAUAAACUAUGCCGACUAGGGAUCGGAUGAUGUUAAUUUUUUAAUGACUCAUUCGGCGCCUU
RNAcentral lists this ribosomal RNA (520 nucleotides) under uncultured Glomus. Its description in RNAcentral is "SSU rRNA". It matches the Rfam family "Eukaryotic small subunit ribosomal RNA", at positions 569 to 1089 of the family's 1831-position model. The record is from RNAcentral. Lineage: Eukaryota; Fungi; Glomeromycota; Glomeromycetes; Glomerales; Glomeraceae.